RNAcentral lists this ribosomal RNA (1555 nucleotides) under Enterococcus faecium. Its description in RNAcentral is "bacterial SSU rRNA". It matches the Rfam family "Bacterial small subunit ribosomal RNA". The record is from RNAcentral. Lineage: Bacteria; Bacillati; Bacillota; Bacilli; Lactobacillales; Enterococcaceae.
UAUGAGAGUUUGAUCCUGGCUCAGGACGAACGCUGGCGGCGUGCCUAAUACAUGCAAGUCGAACGCUUCUUUUUCCACCGGAGCUUGCUCCACCGGAAAAAGAAGAGUGGCGAACGGGUGAGUAACACGUGGGUAACCUGCCCAUCAGAAGGGGAUAACACUUGGAAACAGGUGCUAAUACCGUAUAACAAUCAAAACCGCAUGGUUUUGAUUUGAAAGGCGCUUUCGGGUGUCGCUGAUGGAUGGACCCGCGGUGCAUUAGCUAGUUGGUGAGGUAACGGCUCACCAAGGCCACGAUGCAUAGCCGACCUGAGAGGGUGAUCGGCCACAUUGGGACUGAGACACGGCCCAAACUCCUACGGGAGGCAGCAGUAGGGAAUCUUCGGCAAUGGACGAAAGUCUGACCGAGCAACGCCGCGUGAGUGAAGAAGGUUUUCGGAUCGUAAAACUCUGUUGUUAGAGAAGAACAAGGAUGAGAGUAACUGUUCAUCCCUUGACGGUAUCUAACCAGAAAGCCACGGCUAACUACGUGCCAGCAGCCGCGGUAAUACGUAGGUGGCAAGCGUUGUCCGGAUUUAUUGGGCGUAAAGCGAGCGCAGGCGGUGCAGUGAGAGAAAACUUCGAUCUUCGGCCAGCAGGAAUCAUCGAGAUGCUUGAUUUGCGUCGGAGUGCAGAAGAGGAGAGUGGAAUUCCAUGUGUAGCGGUGAAAUGCGUAGAUAUAUGGAGGAACACCAGUGGCGAAGGCGGCUCUCUGGUCUGUAACUGACGCUGAGGCUCGAAAGCGUGGGGAGCAAACAGGAUUAGAUACCCUGGUAGUCCACGCCGUAAACGAUGAGUGCUAAGUGUUGGAGGGUUUCCGCCCUUCAGUGCUGCAGCUAACGCAUUAAGCACUCCGCCUGGGGAGUACGACCGCAAGGUUGAAACUCAAAGGAAUUGACGGGGGCCCGCACAAGCGGUGGAGCAUGUGGUUUAAUUCGAAGCAACGCGAAGAACCUUACCAGGUCUUGACAUCCUUUGACCACUCUAGAGAUAGAGCUUCCCCUUCGGGGGCAAAGUGACAGGUGGUGCAUGGUUGUCGUCAGCUCGUGUCGUGAGAUGUUGGGUUAAGUCCCGCAACGAGCGCAACCCUUAUUGUUAGUUGCCAUCAUUCAGUUGGGCACUCUAGCAAGACUGCCGGUGACAAACCGGAGGAAGGUGGGGAUGACGUCAAAUCAUCAUGCCCCUUAUGACCUGGGCUACACACGUGCUACAAUGGGAAGUACAACGAGUUGCGAAGUCGCGAGGCUAAGCUAAUCUCUUAAAGUUUCUCUCAGUUCGGAUUGCAGGCUGCAACUCGCCUGCAUGAAGCCGGAAUCGCUAGUAAUCGCGGAUCAGCACGCCGCGGUGAAUACGUUCCCGGGCCUUGUACACACCGCCCGUCACACCACGAGAGUUUGUAACACCCGAAGUCGGUGAGGUAACCUUUUGGAGCCAGCCGCCUAAGGUGGGAUAGAUGAUUGGGGUGAAGUCGUAACAAGGUAGCCGUAUCGGAAGGUGCGGCUGGAUCACCUCCUUU